Molecule: ribosomal RNA, 1237 nt
Filed under: metagenome
Description: bacterial LSU rRNA
Rfam family: Bacterial large subunit ribosomal RNA
Source: RNAcentral
UGAGUACGAGACGCUAAGGCGUUGAAGCGGUCUAUGUCAGACUUCCAAGAAAAGCUCGCAAUGUCAUAAACAAAAAGUGCCUGUACCAUAACCGACACAGGUGGGUAGGUAGAGUAUACUAAGGGGCGCGAGAUAACUCUCUCUAAGGAACUCGGCAAAAUGACUCCGUAACUUCGGGAGAAGGAGUGCCUUAUUUUUAUAAGGUUGCAAUAACAAGAUCCAAGCAACUGUUUACCAAAAACACAGGUCUCCGCUAAGUCGUAAGACGAUGUAUGGGGGCUGACGCCUGCCCAGUGCCAGAAGGUUAAAGAAGUUGGUUAGUUUCGGCGAAGCUGAUGACUGAAGCCCUGGUGAACGGCGGCCGUAACAAUAACGGUCCUAAGGUAGCGAAAUUCCUUGUCGGGUAAGUUCCGACCCGCACGAAAGGCGUAAUGAUUUGGAUACUGUCUCGGAGAGGGGCUCGGUGAAAUAGACUUGUCUGUGAAGAUGCGGACUACCUGCACCUGGACAGAAAGACCCUAUGAAGCUUUACUGUAACUUGAGAUUGAAAUUGGACUUUAUUUGCGCAGUAUAGGUGGGAGACGUUGAGAAUAUUCUUGCGGGAAUAUUGGAGUCAUCAGUGAGAUACCACUCUUGUAAUGUUAGAUUUCUAACUUUGUAUCAUUAUCUGGUCAAAGGACAGUUUCAGGCGGGCAGUUUGACUGGGGCGGUCGCCUCCCAAACGGUAACGGAGGCGCACAAAGGUUUCCUCUGAACGUGUAGAAAUCGUAUCUAGAGUGUAAAGGCAUAAGGAAGCUUGACUGUGAGACCUACAAGUCGAGCAGGGACGAAAGUCGGUCUUAGUGAUCUGACGGUGCUGAGUGGAAAGGCCGUCACUCAACGGAUAAAAGUUACCCUAGGGAUAACAGGCUGAUCUCCCCCAAGAGUUCACAUCGACGGGGAGGUUUGGCACCUCGAUGUCGGCUCAUCGCAUCCUGGGGCGGUAGUACGUCCCAAGGGUUGGGCUGUUCGCCCAUGAAAGCGGUACGCGAGCUGGGUUCAGAACGUCGUGAGACAGUUCGGUCCAUAUCCGGUGUAGGCGUUAGAUUAUUGAGAGGAGCCUUCUUUAGUACGAGAGGACCGAGAAGGACAUACCUCUGGUGUACCAGUUAUCGUGCCAACGGUAAACGCUGGGUAGCUAUGUAUGGAGUGGAUAACCGCUGAAAGCAUCUAAGUGGGAAGCCCACCUCAAGAUAAG